RNAcentral lists this ribosomal RNA (243 nucleotides) under uncultured Actinomycetales bacterium. RNAcentral describes it as "partial 16S ribosomal RNA". It matches the Rfam family "Bacterial small subunit ribosomal RNA", at positions 88 to 334 of the family's 1533-position model. The record is from RNAcentral. Lineage: Bacteria; Bacillati; Actinomycetota; Actinomycetes; Actinomycetales.
UACUCGAGUGGCGAACGGGUGAGUAACACGUGGGUGAUAUGCCAUGCACUUCGGGAUAAGCUUGGGAAACUGGGUCUAAUACCGGAUAGGAGCCAUCUUUAGCGUGGUGGUUGGAAAGUUUUUUCGGUGUAGGAUGAGCUCGCGGCCUAUCAGCUUGUUGGUGGGGUAAUGGCCUACCAAGGCGGCGACGGGUAGCCGGCCUGAGAGGGUGUACGGCCACAUUGGGACUGAGAUACGGCCCAG